UACGUAGGGGGCAAGCGUUGUUCGGAAUUACUGGGCGUAAAGGGCGCGUAGGCGGCACAGCAAGUCGGGAGUGAAAGCCCGGGGCUCAACCCCGGAAUGGCUUUCGAAACUGCUGAGCUAGAGUACAGAAGGGGCAACCGGAAUUCCCAGUGUAGCGGUGAAAUGCGUAGAUAUUGGGAAGAACACCUGAGGCGAAGGCGGGUUGCUGGGCUGAUACUGACGCUGAGGCGCGAAAGCGUGGGGAGCGAACAGG
RNAcentral lists this ribosomal RNA (253 nucleotides) under uncultured bacterium. RNAcentral's name for it is "partial 16S ribosomal RNA". It matches the Rfam family "Bacterial small subunit ribosomal RNA", at positions 524 to 776 of the family's 1533-position model. The record is from RNAcentral.